GACCCGACUGCUAUUUGGGUGAGGAUAAGCCAUGCGAGUUGGAUGGGAUACCUAAACUUCCCAUAGCAAACUGCUUAGUAACACAUGAUCAACUUGCCCUAUGGAGAAAAAUAACCUCGGGAAACUGAGGAUAAUGUUUCAUAGUUGAAUAGGCUUGGAAAAGUUUUUCAAUGAAAGGAAUAAGAUAAAUGGAUCUUAUUUGCCAUAGGAUAGGAUCGUGGUCGAUUAUGGUAGUUGGUGAGAUAACGGCUCACCAAGCCAAUAAUCGAUAGGGGCCGUGAGAGCGGGAGCCCCAAGAUGGGUACUGAGACAGCGACCCAGGCCUUACGAGGCGCAGCAGGCGCGAGACCUCCGCAAUACACGAAAGUGUGACGGGGUUACCCAAAGUGUUCUCUUAAGAACUGUGGCAGGUUAGUAAUGUCCCCUGCUAGAAAGGAGAGGGCAAGGCUGGUGCCAGCCGCCGCGGUAAAACCAGCUCUUCAAGUGGUCGGGAUAAUUAUUGGGCUUAAAGUGUCCGUAGCCGGUUUAGUAAGUUCCUGGUAAAAUCGGGUAGCUUAACUAUCUGCAUGCUAGGAAUACUGCUAUACUAGAGGGCGGGAGAGGUCUGAGGUACUACAGGGGUAGGGGUGAAAUCUUAUAAUCCUUGUAGGACCACCAGUGGCGAAGGCGUCAGACUGGAACGCGCCUGA
Molecule: ribosomal RNA, 689 nt
Filed under: uncultured archaeon
Lineage: Archaea
Description: bacterial SSU rRNA
Rfam family: Archaeal small subunit ribosomal RNA
Source: RNAcentral